UCCCAGCUGGUGUGUGCGCUAGUGUGGGCAUUGGUGGCCACAUCAGUGGAGGUGGUUAUGGACUCAUAUGCGUAAGUACGGUAUUGCUGCAGAUAAUGUCAUAGAUGCUCACAUAAUCGAUGUGAAUGGUAACCUUCUUGGCAGACAAGCCAUGGGUGAGGAUCUAUUUUGGGCCAUUAGAGGAGGUGGUGGAGCAAGCUUUGGAGUCAUUGUGGCUUGGAAGGUAAAACUGGUUCCAGUUCCAUCAACCGUGACAAUGUUUGAUGUUUCAAGGACAUUGGAAGAGAAUGCAACCGAGAUCAUUCAAAAAUGGCAGCUUGUGGCCCAUAAAUUGGACGAACGCAUAAUAAUUAGGGUGGACAUAACAAGGGUUAAUUCAAAUAAACAUGGAAAGCUAACAAUACAAGCCAGAUUUGUGUCCUUGUUUCUGGGAGGAGUAGAAGAGCUUAUUCCAUUGAUGCAAAACAGCCUCCCAGAGUUGGGUUUGGACAGAAACGACUGUAAAGAGACGAGUUGGAUUGGCUCAGCUGUUUUCAACAAUGCUUUGUUGAUUGGAUCUUCAGGCAAUGAACCCCCGGAAUCUAUGCUCAACAAAACUCAAAUUCGUUUUGGAAAUUACAAAGGAAAAUCUGAUUAUGUGAAAAAACCUAUUCCUAUCGAGGGAUUACGAGGAUUAUUGCGUUUGCUUUGUGACGCUAAGGUUGAAUAUCCUCUAGUUCAAUUGGCUCCUUACGGGGGCAUAAUGAACGAGAUUUCAGAGUCUGAAAUUGCGUUCUCGCACAGAUCUCAAUACAUUUAUCAUAUACACUAUGGGGUCACCUGGCAAGAGGAAGGGGACGAGAUAGCACAAAGGCAUAUGGAUUGGAUUAGAAGACUCUAUAAAUAUAUGGAACCUUAUGUUUCAAAUUCUCCAAGAGCUGCAUAUAUAAAUUACAGAGACCUUGACAUUGGGGUAAAUAACAAUGGUUUCACAAGCUACACCCAUGCCAGCAUUUGGGGUUUGAAGUAUUUCAAUAAUAACUUCAAGAGAUUGGCUAAAGUGAAGACCAAGGUUGAUCCUAAAAACUUUUUCAGGAACGAACAAAGCAUUCCUAUACUGUCCGUGGAGACAAUCCAGCAUAAGAGAAAACAGCUGAAAGUACCUUGGAGACAACCCACAACCAAGACUUUAGUUGAAUAAGCGUAAACACUUUCGAAACACCCACCACUCCCCCUUUCAAAAUUACCUUAUUCAUGCGCCUCUAAAUCUCAUUUAAUACAACAGUCCAGAUGGUUCCCCAAAUCACAUUAACAAAUUCUUAUGCACUACACAUCCUAAACUGUAGGAAGUGAAAGAAAGCAUCAGAAUGAUCCACAGACGCCAAACCUAACCAAGCGUAACACUGACUCCUGACCAACCAAGCUAUUAUGCACUAAAAAACAAAUGACUAUAGGACUCCUCUUCCACCCUGCACAUAAUACAUCAAACAUUCCUGAGCUCUACCCCUCUCCUUACCAAAUUUCCUUUGGUGGCUAACUUAUUUUCAAAGACCCUCCAAGCAGUGACUUGGGCCGAAGGCAAAACCUUAGUCUUCCAAAACAUAACAAACCCAAUAUUGAUCCUCCCUUCAGGCUCACCCCUUAAGAGAACAUAAGCAUAAUUAAUCGUGUACAUAGAGAACUCAUCGUUCUUCUAGACCCAGCCAUCAUCCAUAUCCAAACUAGCCUCAGUCCUUGGAGCAUCUCAAAAUGUUGUCUUUCUAUAUCCUUUUCCCACUUGAACAAGUUCCUUCUCCAAAGAAGAUUCCACUUUCAGACUCCGUCAACCAAAUACCCACACUCAGCCACUUUAGACUCCGGCAGACAGCUCAAAGAACACAAUCUUGGAAAAACACUCUUCAAGUUACUGCACCCCUUCCAAUUAUCUUCCCAAAAACUGAUAGACUUCCCAUUUUCAAUCUUCCACUUGAAACGAUCUUCAAACCUCCUUCCCCAACUCUCAAACUCCCAAACCUCUUUCAAAACUUUCCACCAAAGGGACAUCUUAGCAGGAUUCCUUUGUUCUCUCAGACUUCUCCACCCUCCGUAUUUAAACUCAAUAACAUCCUUCCACAAGCCUCCCUUGUCUGUCCCGAGACGCCAAAUCCAUUUCCCUAAAAGUGCUAUAUUGAAAACUUUCAAAUCAAUAAUGCCAAGACCACCUACCUCACAGGGCUCACAGACUUUCUUCCACGCAGUCCAAGCAAUUUUUCUCCCCUCCAACCCCCACCCCUAAAGGAAACGCCUCUAAAUUUUGUUGGUUUUAUUAGUGUCUAAGUUCAAGAGGAGGGUGAAUUGAACUUAUAAAAUUUUCAAAUAGAUUCAGGUAUUUCACGAAAUAUAGUAAAAGAAUCGAUUUAUUGAUAGAAAUUAAAAAUUAACUAGUACACUAGAAAAUACUUUAAUUUUAAUUCGUUCAAUAUUAUUGAUAAAAGUAUCUUAAAAACUUUUCCGUGAUUAUGAUUUGAUGAUAAUCGUUAAUUUAUAAAAUUCAUAUUUGUAGACAAUAUUUCAUGAGUGUAACAUGUUUAAAUGAAAAAGGAAAACUUAUCUUUUGACACUGAAGCACACACUUCACAAUUCUUUAUAAUAAUAUAAUAGUAUUUUUAAUUAAAAAAUAAAAUAAAAAUAUUAAUGUUUUAUGAUGUUACAUUUCACAACUCUAUCAUAAUAUAAUAAUAUUUUAAAUUAAAAAAAUAUAAAAGUAAUUAAAAUAUUAAUAUAUCACUUCUCAAUAAAAAAAAAAGUUGUCAGAAAAAUAUAUUAUUAAAUUUUUGAAUAUGGUAAAUAAAACAAUAAGCAGUGAAAAUCCCUUAUUUAAUUCCUUCUGUGUGCAAGCAACUUUUUCUUCUAUAAAAAUGCUCGAUACUACAUAUCGAUAGCUAUUAAAAAUAUUUAUUUAACUGAGUUUCUCUUUAUUAAAUAUGAAAUAAUGAAAUAACAAAAAAUUUAGACAUUGUUCACAUAAGUUAAAAUAAUGUAAUUUUUUUUGGUGCUUACUUUUUUUUAUUAAAAAAAGAAUUAAAAAAUAAAAAUAAAUCACUUCAGGAGUGUUCCUGCCCUUAUACAAAUAACACUUUAAACUCUUCCUCACUCUCAAGAAAUAUCCACUGAACAAACAAGACCACAAUACUAACAUAAGACACUCACAUCAAAAGAUCAAAAAGUCAGCCUCUGUAGGGAUAUUGUGUGCGGAAACGUAAUAAUUUCAACCAAAAGAUUAUGAGAAAUUAAAGUAACAAGUAAAGUGAGAAUGAUACCAAAAUUUUUAUGUGGAAAACCCCUUUAAAUAGAGGUAAAAAAACCACCGGCGAGAGAGCCAAAACUUCCACUAUAAUGGUAUUGGGAGUACAAUGAAUUCCUCUCAAGCUAAUAGAUAAAUAGCCCUAAAACAAAUUCUCUCUAUAUGGGUUAAACACUUACACCCAAGAGAAGAAAUAAAGAGUAUAGGAAAAGAGAGAGGAAGCAAGUGUGUGUUGUUGCUUGUUGUGUGUUACAUUGCUUGAAGGAAGCCACUAUAUAUAGUGGUUCUAGGAGACAACAAUAAUAAAUACAACUAAUGGUAAUUAAUCUCCCUUUGAUGACAAUUAAUUGUAGUAAGAAACCUCCAUUUGAUUACAAUUUAAUUGUGGCAAGUAACCUCCCAAUUAUGCCAAGAAAACGGAAAUGUGAGUCAUAACCCACAAAUCUCCACCUUGACUUGCCUUUGACUGGAACACUAAGCCUUGAUUAAGUAUGGAUAAUACCAGCUAAGUUCAGGCAAUGAUCGAACUUAGCCGAUGGAAGUGGCUUGGUCAACAUUUCUGCAGGAUUUUCGGCCGUAUGAAUUUUUUCAACAAUUAUAUCUCAUGUAUCAACAAUGUCUCGGAUAAAAUGGUGUUUAAUUUCAAUGUACUUGGUCCUUGAGUGAUACUUACUGUUCCUGGUUAAGUGGACAACACUCUGACUAUCACAAAAUAUAACAAGAACAUCUUGUUGAAGACCAAGUUCACUUACCAAGCCUCGAAGUCAUAUAGCCUCUUUCAUACCUUUUGUAGCAGCAAUAUAUUCUGCUUCAGUGGUGGACAAAACCGCAAUGGCUUGAAGUGAAGAAUACCAACUGAUAGCAGAUCCACAUAGGGUAAAAAUGUAGGCUGAAAGUGACCUUCUCCGAUCUAAAUCACCACCAUAGUCAGCAUCAACAUAGCCAACUGCUCAUCCGAGAUCGGCUCUAUGUUGAUCAAAUACCAAACCAAGAUUUGGAGACCCUUUCAGAUAACGAAGUAUCCAUUUAACGGCUUCCCAGUGUGCCUUGCCUGGAUUAUGCAUGAACCUGCUAACAAUGCUAACAACAUAAGCUAAAUCAGGUCUAAUACAUACCAUAGCAUACAUGAGACUUCCAAUUGCAUUUGAAUACGGGACAUGUGACAUGCGCCUUUUGUCCUCGUCUGAUUUUGGACACUGAUCUGAUGACAACUUGAAGUCGGCGGCAAUUGGAGUAUUAACAGCUUUGCAAUCUCGCAUUCCAAAUUUGUCAAGCAUCUUAAGAACAUACUUCUUUUGUGAUGAUAGAAAAAGUUUUCCAGCUUGACGAUCUCUGUUGAUCUCCAUUCCUAAAAUUUUCUUGGCAGGACCUAAGUCCUUCAUAUCAAAUUCACUACUAAGCUGAGCCUUUAACUUGUUAACUAAAAAUUUAUCUCUUGCAGCAAUCAACAUGUCAUCAACAUAUAACAACGAGUAUAUAAAUGACCCAUCAUAUGUCUUUUGAAAAUAGACACAAUUAUCAUAGCUACUUCUGGAGUAACCAUUUCCAACCAUGAAAGAAUCAAACCUCUUAUAGCAUUGUCUUGGUGAUUGCUUCAAGCCGUAGAGAGAUUUCUUCAGACGACAUACAUGAUCCUCCUUUCCAGGAACAACGAACCCCUCAGGCUGCUGGAUGUAAAUCUCUUCCUCAAGAUUACCAUGAAGAAAAGCAGUUUUCACAUCUAACUGUUCCAUCUCCUAAUCAUACAAGGCAACUAAAGCAAGUAAUAUACGUAUUGAAGUAUGACGAACAACAGGAGAAAAUACUUCAUUAAAGUCAAUACCUUUCUCUUGGUCAAAACCUCUUACAACAAAUCUUGCUUUAUUCCUUGUACUCUCAACACCAGGGAUCCCUUCUUUUCUCUUAAAGAUCCACUUGCAACUAAUGACUCGUUUUCCUUCUGGUAACUUCACCAAUUCCCAUGUUUCGUUUUUUAGAAGACUCUCAACUUCUUUUUGCAUAGCAGUAAUCCACUUUGUUGAGUCAUCACCAGAGAUAGCUUCAGAGUAAUUCUUGGGUUCACCUUCUUCACCCAUCUCUUGUGCAAUAGUUAAAGCAUAAGCAAUGUUGGCAGAUUCUGCAAUUAAUCUUUGAGUCGGUUUCCUUGGUCUCUGUUGUGGAAGUUCUUGAGUCAUAGACCACGGCUGUGGUAACCCUCGUCGUUAAGGUGGACAUUGCUCAUGUGGACUCAAAUGUUCAUUUGUACCAUCAGUAGCAAUGAUUUGAUCACCUUGAGUACUGGAGGAAUUGAGAGCGUCUUCCUCAUGAGCGGGUGUUUUAAUCUCAAACUCCACAUUCUCUCGAGCAUCUUCCUGGUCACCUGUAUCAAUUAAGGAAAUGACAGUAUCUCUUACAAAAGAGAGCAUAGCAUUUUCAUUAAAGAUCACAUUCCGACUGUGAAUUAUUUUGUGAGAUUCUGGGUCAUACAAACGAUAGUCUUUAACCCUUGAGCCAUAACCCAAGAAAAUGCACUUCUUUGUACGAGGUUCUAAUUUUCCCUCGUUUACUUGAGAAUAAGCAGAGCAACCAAAUAUUUUAAGAUUAGAAUAAUCAACAGGGUUACCUAACUAAACUUCUUAUGGAAUGUUGCAAUCAAUUGAUCUGUUAGGAGAGCGAUUUAUCAGAUAACAUGCCGUUGAAGCCGCUUCAGCCCAAAAAGAUUUGCUCAAACCAGAAUACGAGAACAUGCAACAAACUCUCUCUAGGAUAGUUCUAUUCAUUCUUUCUGCAACCCCGUUCUGUUGUGGAAUACUUGGGAUGGUGAAGUGUCUGGAAAUGUCAUCCUUCUUGCAGAAAUCAUUGAAUUCAUUCGAACAGAACUCAAGGUCAUUGUCUGUCCUUAGCCUCUUUAUCUUCUUGCCAGUCUGAUUCUCAAUCAAUAAUUUCCACUCUUUAAAAGUGGAAAAUGCUUCAUUCUUAUGUUUGAGAAAAUACACCCACAGUUUUCGUGAGAAAUCAUCAAUAAUUGUCAUCAUAUAACGACAUUUACCUCUAGAGGGAACUUUUGACGGACCCCAAAGAUCCGAAUGAAUAUAAUCCAAAGUACCUUUGGUUCUGUGUAUGGCUUUAGAAAAACUAACCUUUUUCUGCUUACCGAAAACGCAAUGUUCACAGAAAUCAACCUUUCCAGUACAGUGGUUACCAAGGUGACCCUUCUUCUUGAGGAUUAGAAUUUCCUUCUCACUCAUGUGGUCUAAUCUCAUAUGCCACAACUUGGUGUUAUCUUUGUUGGGUGAGGCAACAGCUGUAGAACCUGUUACUGUUGAACCCUGCAGCACAUACAAACUAUCACAUCGAAUUGCCUUUAGUAACAUAAGAGCUCCUUUAGACACUUUUAAAACUCCACCUUCAGCUAAGUAUCUACACCCAUGAGAUUCAAGGGUGCCUAAGGAAAUGAGAUUUCGUUUCAACUCGGGGACAUAUCUGACACCUGUUAAAGUUCUAACAAUUCCAUCAUGUGUCUUGAUUUUGAUUGUUCUUUCACCAACAACUGUGCAUUGAGCACCGUUUCCCAUCAAAACAAGACCAUUAUAAAUUGGUUCAAAUGUGGUAAACCAAUCUCUAUUGUGAGAGAUGUGAAAAGUGUUGGGUUUAAUAGUGCCAAAGUUCAAGAGGGGGGGUGAAUUGACCUUUUAAAUCUUUCUCGCAGAAACAGUGUUUAACACAGUUUACAGAAAAUAAAUCGAUUUAUGUGUAAAUGAACAGAUUUAUUUUGGCACUAUUUGUGUUUGAAAAGCGUUUAUACAGCAAGGUUAAUCACUAGAUUAUGCAGAUAGAUUUUCCAGACGCACACACACUGAUAUUAGAUUUGAAAAACAGUGAAUCACCAAAACAGCAACCUUCAAUUUCAAGCAAGUGAUUAAGGUUCAAUUAAUGGCUUGACAGUUUAUUGAGUGAUCUAAUCAACAUGUUCUAAUGGCUUUUAACAGAUUAUAAGUGUUCUUAUUGAAAUCAACCGGUUUUCCAGAAAUUAAGAACAAUAUGAACCGUGCCCAGAAAGAACAGAUUUAUUUUUAAUUGAACAGAUUUAUUUCUUUGUUGUUUUAUGAAUUAUGCAGAAACUUAAUUGCAGAGAUUGAGAGAGAAUGAACACAAGGCAGUUAUACUGGUUCACUCAACUGAGCUACAUCCAGUCUUCACCUACCACAAGGUGAAAUUCACUAAAUCACAAUACAAACAAACACAAUUCCCACUGUUCUUGAAACCUACAAGAACUUAGGUACUCUUGCUGAAAAAACCUAUUUCAGCUCACACACACUCUUCAAGAAAACCUAUCAAGAAGAGUGUUCAACCAAACUAUUACAAGAAAUGAGAAGUGAAACGACUACACCUGAUUGAGGAUACAAAGAUCUGCCUUAAACUAGUAGGCAAGAUUGCUAGAACAGUAGCAGCACCUCACACCAAGCUUUUGGAACCAAACCAAGAACAAGCACUUUGUGAUUUUCGAAAUCUUUGAAGAACAAAUGCUAAUCCUUUGUAAACUCUUAAUUCUCUUCUGUAAAACUUGUUUUUACAAAUGUAUGAACGAUGUUUUAACUCAGAAACAAGUUUUCAUUUUAUAGAAAACCAACUUAUAAAAGAAUUUUGAAAAACAGUUAAAGCUGUUAUAAAAUGAACUUAUUGAAAAUGAAAUGAACAAAUUUAUUUUCAAAAGCAGUUAGAGAAUUUGUUAAGUGAGGAGACUUAGUCAACCAUUCUGGUGUAGAGAUAAAACUGAAAAACGUUUAAGCUAGAUAUGGCACCAGAGACAAAAAAAAUCUAUUCAUUUACAGAUGAACAUAUUUAUUUUUCAAAACAAAAACAGAAAAGCUUAACUAUUUGAAACACAGUUGUUUUGAAAGAUAGAAGACUUAGUCAAAAUACAUGAUGCACAAAAUCAAAUUUUCACAAGACUUAGCCAAGGCAUCAGUGUAAAAAAGAAUCUGUUUAUUUAGAAAAGAACAUAUUUAUUUUUAUGCAGUAAACGUGUUGUUUUGUAAAACAUGUGAAAAACAGUUUAAGAAAACUUAUGCUUGUUCUUAUCACAUGGCCAGUGGUUAUGAGGUGAGUUACUAAGCAAAAAGCCCACUCUUAGACAACCUCUAAGCACUACCUAAGACACACUUAAAGCAAAGCCAAAAUACACAUGAAAUGUACAUAGAAGUCUUCAUCAAACACAAUCUUGAAGGGGCAACAACCAUCUUCAACAAAAAGUACAACCAGAAUCAAGAAUCCAUUCAUUUUUAGACCUUUGUUUAGUGUUGGAAGCUACAAAACAAUCCCCAUCAGAUUCAGUUUCAACAAUACUAGCUUCGACAAUUUUUUCUGGUUGUUUACCAUUUCCCUUAUCUUCUCUAUCUUGCUUAUUUUUCAAUUUAUAACAUUCAGAGAUCUCGUGUCCCUUUUUCUUGCAAUAACGACAAUAUUUGGAGUUCUUGCCUGUACAUUUUGACCUAGAUUUAUGUUUAGUGUUCCUACCUUUCUCUUGGUUUCUCCCUCUAACUUGAACUAAUCCUUCACCAGAACUUUCAAAAUGAAUUUGAGUAUCAAAUAUUUCUUUGGCUAGUAAAUUAGUCUUGACAUCAUCAAAGCUUAAGGUAAGAUAAUUACCGUAUAACAUAAUUUCUUUGAAUUGUCGAUGCGAGGGUGGUAGAGAAACAAUAUGUAGAACUACUUUAUCCUCAUCAAUUUUAACAUCCAAAUUUUCCAAAUCAAUUAUGAUGGAAUUAAAUUCAUCAAGGUGAGAUUGGAUGGGAUUCAGACAUUCAGNNNNNNNNNNNNNNNNNNNNNNNNNNNNNNNNNNNNNNNNNNNNNNNNNNNNNNNNNNNNNNNNNNNNNNNNNNNNNNNNNNNNNNNNNNNNNNNNNNNNCGCUCCUUUAACCGGAGUUUGUUUGCAAGACUUUUGGUCACGUAUAGAGACUCCAAUUUACUCCAUAUGCCUGCUGUAGUUUUCUCGUUGAUGACCUCACGCAACACCUCACGGGACAAGCAUAACUUGAUUGCAGCAAUGCUUCAUCAUCUCAUCCCAUGCUCCUGGUCAUAGUGGUUGGUCUCAUCAUUUUACCUGUCAAAACUUUCUUUAAACCAUUCUGGGUGAGAACAACUAGCAUCUGGACUCGCCAGAUAACAAAGCUGAUUUUACCAUCAAAUUUCUCAAUAUCCAAUUUUGACAUUAUUGAACAACAGAUCCUGGUUGAAUUAUCGAAAAGCUCUGAUGCCAAUUUGUAGGGAUAUUGUGUGCGGAAGCGGAAUAAUUUCAACCAAAAGAUGAUGAGAAAUUAAAGUAACAAGUAAAGUGAGAAUGAUACCAUAAUUUUUAGGUGGAAAACCCUUUAAAUAGAGGUAAAAAACCACCGGUGAGAGAGCCAAAACUUCCAUUAUAAUGGUAUUGGGAGUACAAUGAAUUCCUCUCAAGCUAAUAGAUAAAUAGUCCCAAAACAAAUUCUCUCUAUAUGCGUUAAACACUUACACCCAAGAGAAUAAAUAAAGAGUAUAGGAAAAGAGAGAGGAAGCAAGUGUGUGUUGUUGUUUGUUGUGUGUUACAUUGCUUGAAGGAAGCCACUAUAUAUAGUGGUUCUAGGAGACAACAAUAAUAAAUACAAUUAAUGGUAAUUAAUCUCCCUUUGAUGACAAUUAAUUGUAGUAAGAAACCUCCAUUUGAUUACAAUUUAAUUGUGGCAAGUAACCUCCCAAUUAUACCAAGAAAACGGAAAUGUGAGUCAUAACCCACAGCCUCAUACAAAUCAUUGAAUCCAAACACCAAUUAGAAAAAGAAAACAACCUAAAACGAGACUUAGAACAAAUCCAAGACCAAACCUUGACUUGAACCAUUACAAACAUUUCAGACACAUCGGCCUUUCCCCUAUUAAAAAUGAUAUUGUUCCUGUGUUUCAAAAUUUCACUCACGACUCCAAAACAAAUUGGGGAGGGAAGUUUGAAGAUCGUUUGAAUUUGGAGGUCGGAAACGGGAGAGAGGUUAUGUUUUGGUUAAACAAUUGGAUAGACUCAGAAGACUUGAAGAGCAGAUUUCCAAGGUUAUUUUCUUUGUCUGUAAAUAAGGAGGGAAAUUUAUGUGAUUGUGGAAUAAGGGAGAACAGGACGUAGGAGUGGAACAUAAGGUGGAGAAGGGGCCUGUUCGCUUGGGAAGAGGAGCAAGAAAGUCAACUUUUAGAGUUGAUCUCUAAUAAGAAGCUAGAGAUGGAAACAGUGGAUAAAAUGCGUUUGGAAGGAUGGUGAUUUAACAGAGUUUUCAGUUAAGUCCGCUUAUGGGUUUUUAAGGGGAGAAGGAAGUGAGGAAGACUUAAAAAGAUAUAAAUUUUUUUGAGAAAUUAAGGCGCUCCCCUUAGCUCAAGUCACAACUUGGAGAGUGUUUAAAAACAAGGUUGCUUGUAGGGUUAAUCUGGAGAGAAGAGGAAUCAGGAUCGGGAGUAAUCUAUGUUGCUUGUUGUACCGUCCCGUACCUGGGCGUUGACUAAGUCAAGGUCAAAGUCAACACCAGGGGCAAAAGUCAACACAGGGUGUCGCCUAGGUGAAGAGAACUAAGUGCCAGCGUCGUCAAGAAAGAGGGCGUCGCCAAGGCACGGCGUCACCUAGAAGGAGGCGUCGCCCAACCAGGGCGUCGCCAGAUCAAACAUUACCAAAGUAAGGCAAUCACAGUGUGGUUCCCCGAUACCCAUGGGUAGGAAAGACCAUGGAGGGAGCCACACCGUGGGAAGGCCUCAGGUCCCGAUAGCCCGGGGCAGCGAUAAAGAGAACGAAAAGGUGGCUUCAAGGCCAUAGUGAUAGCACCAGUAUAGGGCAGCCUGACUCGUGAAGUACCCCUGCUGCCCCAGAGACGCCUUUGGGACAGAUACGACUCAAGAGGAAGGUCACGCCCAGGGUAGCCGGGUGCAGGGUACGAGAGGAAGGCAGAUACGCUCUCAAAGUAAGUGACUAGAUAAUUGGGGGCAUGAGUUGGCACCCAAAAAGUCACCCCUAGCGCAGUAGCACUCCCAAGCAGGAGGACUCACACAUAGAAACGUCCCCAGAUGGGCAGAAACGCCCCAAGAUGGGGUCAAGGCGUCGUGAGACCCUCCACGUGUACGACAGCCAGGUCAGAAUAGAAACACCCUUUAGUCAGGUGCCAGGUAAUUAACGUCAUUCAAUACAGUUUCCGUUUCGAGCGUUCAGGUGCUAUGAUGGCUCCCAAGCAUUUCAACGUCUUAAAUGCGCUAUGUUUUCUAAUUAAACGCUUUAAUGAGUGCGUUACGUUUGUGAUUAAAAGCGCUUUAAGGCGCUUUAAAUGCUUGGGUAGUUUAAAUAGCGCGGAGAAUGUUGGAAAGGGGGUUCGAACUUUUGGCAAAUUUACCAGAACUCUCUAGUUGCUUGCUCGUGCCUUGAGGUUACGUACAAGGGACUGGGGAAAGAUCUUUGCCUGAGGGAGAAAACAUACACACAACACACAGUUCUUUAUACCACCUUCAGAGUGCCAUACGCGGUGCUCAGAUACGGAGGUGCCCAGUUUUGGUGUUUCUUGCUGGCUGACUUGAGCGUCGGAGUGCAAACGUCCGCUAGGGCGCCCUUUUGUCCUCUUUUUGCAGGAAUCCACAGGUAACCCGUGGGAAGGAGUCCCUAGCUGACGGUUGAGGUCGCGCACGAAGACGCCCCGGUCAACCGGACGGAACACUUGUGUAGGAGGUCAGAUGAGACAACAAAUCAUUUGUUCUGCGAAUGCAAAGUUGCUUGGCUAAUUUGGAAUCUUUGUUAUGACUGGUUAGGAAUAAGAUCAGUCAAUUGUAUGGAUCCUGGGUCUCAUUUUGAACAUUUCAAGAUUCUAGAUGCACCUAUUUCAGUUAAUCUUAUUAUGGGCAACUUGUGGAUUGCAUUGGUUAGCGAGAUAUGGAGGCACAAGAAUAACUGUUUAUUUAAAGGUGGAGUGGUUGAUCAUACUGAGGUUUUCUCUCUGACACAGAUUAAGGUUUGGUCCUGAAUCUCAUCAAAGAUACCGUCAGCUUAUUUCUCAUUCUCUGAUUGGUGUCUUGAACCCUUGGUAUGUAUGCAUUCAAUUUAGUUUUAUUUAAAAGGUUGAUCCUCGUGAUUCUUUUAUUAUUGGUAGAGAUGAGAUAGACAGUAGGAGGUAUUUUUGGUUGAUAUGUAGAUGGAAAGGUUCUUUGGGAGUAUCAUUUUACUGUAUAAGGGUUGGACCACUCCUAAAGUGAUCUCAUUUAAUUUCAUUGCUAUUUACUGAAAAAAAAAGCAUAAUAAUUAAGAAUUAGUGUCUAAAACAGUCUCCUUUUUUCUCAUUAACAUGUAUUCAAAACCUUAUAUAUUGUGUACAGUUGUGACAUUCAUAGAAAGUCUCUCUGUAUCUAGUGUGGUAGACAUUGAAUAGCAUCCUCCUUCCAUCCAACUUUUAUUAUGCUCUCUUGCACAAUAGAUUAUUCAUCAGCCCUAUGAUGAUCUACAUUUGCAAUAAAUUGCUACAUAUCCAUGUUUUUCUUUUUCAAACACUUACUUACCUUUUCUCUUUUAUUUUCUACAACCCUAUUCUUGAAUUUCUUGUGUUUUAAGAAUGAUUCUAAAAAUGUUCACAAGUCACUAUCUCUUUGUUCUUUUUGGCAUUCCAACUUUCAAGCUGUAAUAUUGUUGAUGGCACUGAUUAUUUCUUCUCACCACAAGGAGACUAUGACAAAGUUGGGGUGUAUACAUGGCAUUUUGUAAGGAAGUCAACAAACCCACGAAUUUGUAUUUCCUUAAUAUGGUCAGUUGCUCCAUAAUGUUUGAAACUCUACCAUUUCUGCAACUUUGAAUGUACAAUUAUUAGAUAAGAAAUCCAAUGUUGUAAAAUCUUCAUUGCUUACAUGCUUUUGUACCUACCUAUUGACACUUUAAUAGCUUAUGUUUAUUGUGUUCUUUAAAUAAUUAAUCUGCUUUUGUUUGAUGACGUGAUUUAGAAGUUAUUUUCAAUAUCUAUGAUAUUUUCUGAAAAUUAGUUUCUGUUUAAUUUUACACUUUAGAAGAUUCUUACCAUCUAUGUUACAAUCCUACAACUAACUAUCUUUCACCCCUUCCCGAUCCUAUAUGAAAUCUUCAUUUUGACAACAUUGCUUCAACAUUGCUCACCUAAUUCACUAUUUUAAUUUUUAUUGCUUCCAGGUCUAGGACAAGUGUAAGUAAAGUUGGGAGAUUUUAAAAGUGCACUAAAAUUUGUAAAGGUCCUAGAGGUAUACCUGGAUAAUUGUGAGACAUUGAAGGUAAGUGCUUCAAAUUGAAAGAAAUUUUAGUUCACAACCCUCCCCCUCCCUCUUUUGCAUCAUUUCUCUUUCUAGGGCUUGAAUGCUUUUGCAGCAGCAACCUAAGACUAAUUUAACAUCUAACUUUAGGUAUGCCAUAAAUUGGAUAAAAUCAGUUGGGUACGCCUCUUUCUAUUUGGUGAAAUUGGUUUAGACCAUAAAUUGUAGAACAAUCUUUAAAAUCAUGUAUUGUUGAACUUCAAUAACUCCAAAUUUCAUGAUCAUCUAUAUAUUUAUGUAUGCUAACAAGCUUACAUUAAUUGUUUUCUUCAAAUCUGUUUGGGAAAAGUUGAAGAAGGAAAUUCAUGGUAAAAAUAUUAGUUAAAGAAGGAUUGGUUUACAAAAUGUGAAAGAUUUAACAUUCUUACACCAAAGUGGUCAUUCCCUUACUCAUUGACCAAUUAGGUUAUUAAUUAUUAAUUAAUUCAAAAACAUUUUUAACAAAAAAUGUUUUUAUAAUUUCCCCAAAUUUUCAUCGAAUGUUAUUGAAUGAUACCAAAGGGUAAUCAAUGUAAAAGAAAGUUGUAGACUAAGGUACAAAAUUGAUGAUUAAGUUUGUGUAUAAAGUGAAAGUUGUUAGAACAACUAGAUCAUAUCUUUUUAUCUGUCAUUGGAUGUUCUUUUUUCCUUCUCUCAUAUUGUUGUGUUGAUAUAUUGUCUUUUAUUAUAGGCGUUUGGGUAUAUAUAUGUUUAGCUUGGUCAAACUGACAAAGGGCAACACUUUAUUAGGAGAGCUACAAAAAUUGAUUCCCAGGAUGCCUAGGUGAAUGCUUUUGGUAUUUUUUUUAAUUUAUUGAACACUGUUUGCAUAGAUAUUUUUAAUUAUUUAGUGUUCCAUGUGUUGUGCAGUAUAAUGUUUUGCUACAGUUGUUUCAUUACUUAUUGAGUCCUUGUUCUACGAUGAAAAACUUUAUUAGGUUCAACUUGUUAUUUAUGCUUUUAUUUGAGUUGGUGGAGAUAUUUAAUAUUUCUUUUUCUAAAUAUGAGACUAGAUAUAUUAGAAUAAAAAUUGUCAUUUGCUUUGUGUCUUUCGUUUUUGGUGAAGUAUUUUUUUUCCAAUUAAUAUUGUUGUUAGCUCUUCCUUUUUCUGAUGCAAUUCUUCAUUUCUUGAUAUAUAAUUUCAUUAAUUAAAAUUCAAUAGAUUUCGAAUUGAUUCCUUUGGUGUAGCUAAAAGUGAAAUUGAUAAUCGAACCAACAUUCUUGAUCUAACUUCAGCUGUUGGUUUGUUCUUGAAAAAGAUUCAUUGUCUUGCAGGCAUUUCUUGAGCUGGGAGAAUUGUUAAUUCUUUCCAACACAGGAGUGCUUUAAAAAAUGUGAGGGAUUAAGAGCUUAUCAUAUGUUCUAUUUUUGGUUUGAAAAUUUUAUCUUUAUGAAUAGACUUUUGAAGUUUCAUAAUUUGUUAUGAUAUAGAUAUUGUAAUUGUGGUAGAGGCUGAAGAGAGGUCAAGAAGUACCAAUUGAAUUACUAAAUAAUAUUGGUGUGCUUCACUUUGAAAGGAUUCAAGCUUGAUUUUUUUAGUUGUAACUUAUAUGUCAUUCUUUUUUCUCAACAUAAUUGUUGUUGGAUAGUUGAAUUUAGAAGGGGAAAAUAUUCACUUUAUUAUUCAAUAAUGAGAAUAUAAUGUUACUAUAAGGAUUAUUUAACAACAUUGUUUGAGAGAAUGUAGUUCAUAGGUUCUACUUAUCAUCCAUAUGUUUAGACUUUGGUUUAUUUGAAUAAACUUCUCCACAAGUUUUUUUUAUACUAACUUGUCCAAAUACGUUUUGUUUUUAUUUUUUUUUAUUUUUUUAUUUUUUAAGGUAGUCUUAGCUUAUUAAAAAACCUUAUUGCAUUUUUUCUUUUUCUUUUCUCUUUUAAGUGUUUAUAGAAAACAUUAUCGAGACAUACCUUUAGUAAAUACUAUUUCGUUUCCUAGACUAAUAUUAAUUGAGUGCAAUUUCUUAGAUACACAAAUACCCAUAUUUGUUGUAUUCAUAGCUGUAUUAGAAUUUUGGUCAAUGUGGAAUAGGUUCGAAGUAAAUCUGCAUUAUUUGAAAAAGAAAACAUUAUAUUUUUUUUUAGAUGAUAGCAUUGUUUAUGUUCAUAAAUUUUGUUUGAUAAAAAUUAUCAAUAUAAUGAAUUUAUUUUUUAUAAUAAGAAUCAAACCUAAAUCUUUAUGUAUAUUAUUCUAACACCGGUCACUAAAUGGAUCUUAAGGAAUAAUAUGAAUGAUUUAGUAAUUUAUCAUUAUUUAAGAAAUAUCAAUAUAAUUAUUUGGUAUUAAUACGAAAUUACACCUAUAUAGUAUUAUAAAACCCUGGAAAGUAAAUAAAAAAAAGUUGAAGGACAAUAAUGUAUUAAUGUUUGGUGGUAGAAGAAGAACAGAGGGUUUGAGAAAACUGUUGGGCUAUUUUGACUCAAUAUUUUUAUUAUUUAUCAUCUUUUUUUUAUAUAAACACCUUCUAUAAGUAAUGGGGGUUUAAAAAUCGAUGACAACAAUGAGUUAGAAGUACUGAAAAUAACAAGAUUUUAAAAUCGUCGAGAAUAACAGAAAUUUAAAAACCGUCAGAAAUUAUGGAAAUUCUCAAACCGUUGAGAAUUACAAAGUUCUCAAACUAUCAAGAAUUACGAGAUUUUCAAACUGCCAAUAGUAAUAGAGUUUCCAAACCGAUGUAAAAAUUCUUAAUCAUUACAAAAAAUAAAAAAUCACAUGUAAAAGCUCUUAAUCAUUACAUAGGGAAAAAAAAUCUGAAGUGAAUACUCGUAAUUAUUACAUACGAAAAAAAAUUCAUAUAUAAAUGCGUCUAGUCACUAGGAAAAAAAAUCGUACGUAAAAUUUCAUAUAUUAUUACUAAUAUUAUUAUUAUUUAUUAUUUAUUAUUUUUAUUCUUAAUAAUAAUAAUAAAAUUAACAAUAAUAAAAAUAUUUUUAUUAUCAUUAAUAAUAAUAAUAAGAUAAUAAUAAUAUUAGUAAUAGUAAUAAUAUCAAUAUUAUUACUAGAUAAAUUUAGUUUUUAUAUUAUUAUUACUAUAAUUAUUAUAAACAUUAUAUUCAAUUAUUUCCCAAGACGAAUCACCAAAUCUAUCAACCCACACUACCUUCACCAUAUUGAUGUUCUUGCCUUUGAGCUGGGUACUCUAAUGAUUUUCAAUCUUAAUUGAUUUUACUUUAAAAGACAUGUUAUCCUUGAUUUGCACAUUAUCCAUUUCCGGUUGCAAACUCCAAAGGCUUUAUCUUCUAAUCUGCAUAUGAUUUCUGCCAACUCUGAGAGGCUUUCAUCCUUUCAUGUAUCUGUCUCACCUUCUCAAUGGUAUGCCUUAGUAACUCUGGCCCAACCAAUGUUGUCUCAUCAUCUUGGUACCAACCUAACGGAGUUAUGUGUUGAACCAAGUGGUAUUCAAUGUUUUGAAGAAUCCAAAUCCUUUGGAGGAUGUUGAAGCCUCUGCUUUGCUGUGUGUUGUUGUGCUGGUUUAAGCUUUGUUCUGGGGUAGUUUAAUGUUGUAAUCCACCCUUAGAUUAAAUCUCAAGCAAUUAGCAUCUCAAUCUUUAUCAAAGUAAAAUGUUUUUCAAACUAAGUUGAAACAACCGAUUGUUUUGUCGAAACAACCGAUUGUUUACACUUAGGUGUUUUGAGAAAGUUUGAAAACUGUUUUUGAAUGGUGAAAUCUGUUAAGUAACAAAACAACCGAUUGAUUCGAGGAAACAAUCGAUUGUUUGUUUUGAAACCAUAACAGAAAAACUGUUUUCUUUGACUGAGCUUUAAAUGCUUUAACUGAAUACGCUCCAGUCAUUAAAUGCUUUGACCAAUCUAUUUUAAAUGCAAUUAAGAGUUUGUUAAGAUUUGAUAACAAACUAUANNNNNNNNNNNNNNNNNNNNNNNNNNNNNNNNNNNNNNNNNNNNNNNNNNNNNNNNNNNNNNNNNNNNNNNNNNNNNNNNNNNNNNNNNNNNNNNNNNNNUGAGACAAAGUUUAAGAAUAACAACUAAGAGUUUUUCAAAGAGUUCUGAGAUUGCUUAAGAGUUGAGAGAUUGAUCAAGGUGCUGGAAUAGGAUUCUACUUGUAUUGAUUUCAGAUAUUCAUCUGUAACAAGUGUAAUCAUUUAAAACUGCUGAACAAUUUGUGUGUGUGCUUUGCUGAGAUUGGCUGUGUGUUCUUGAGGUGUUCAAGAUCAACAAUCUUAGUGUUGGCCAAGGAGAGUGUGUUUCUUGAGGUGUUCAAGGUCAUUCUCUUGGUUGUGGUGUAAGUGAUCAAGUGGUGAUUGCUUAGUGGUUAUCCUCAGGGUUUCUGAGAAGACUGGAUGUAGCUCUUGUUGGAGUGAACCAGUAUAAACAACUGUGUACAAUUUCUCUAUCCCUAUCUCUUUAAUUCAGUUUUGAUAUUUUGGAACUGGUAUAAACAACCGAUUGUUUUUCCAACUUUGUGCUUUUGCUGUUUGUUUUGGAAAAACUUAAUCCUUAAUCAAGGUUCUUUUGAAGAAUUUUCAUUCUAAGAUUAAAAGUUUACAAAAAUCUUUCUUAAACAAUUCACCCCCCCCUCUCGUUUAAGGCCAUAUAUUCUAACAAUUGGCAUCAAGAGCUUGGUUCUUGAAAGUUAUUCAAGUUUAUCUAAAAUAUUUUUUCUAUGGCUAGAAAACUAUCUUUUGAGGAGGGUGCUUCAAUCUACAAACCACCUUUAUUCUGUGGAUUGAAUUAUAAGUUUUGGGUAGCAAGAAUGAAAAUCUUUAUUGAGUCUAUUGAUCAAAGAAUUUGGGACUCAAUUGAGAAUGGUCCUUACAUUCCAAAAUUCAAAAAGGAUAAUUCCUUUAUUACAAAACCUUUGUCCAUUUGGACAAAUGAUGAAUGUAAGAUGGCUCAGCUUGAUAAGUCUGCUCAAAACAUUAUAGCUUAUGCACUAGAUACUAAUGAAUUUUUCAGGAUAUCAAAGUGCAAAACUGCUAAGGAAAUGUGGGAGACACUCAAGGAUGCUCAUGAACCAAAGGAAGCAAUGACAAAGAGUCAAACAAGAAGAAAGAGAAGGCAAAAUAAGAAAAGCCUCAAUCUUUGCUUAAUGACCAGAAGGGAGGAUGACUCAUGUAGUGUAAGUUCGUCAAAUUCUUCAAACUCGGAAAAUUAUGGUCAAUUGCUUCAAGCCUUUCAAGAAACGCAUGAAGAAGCCAACAGAUUGGCUCUCUUGAACAAUCGAUUGAAAGAAAAGAAUAGCUGGCUUGAAAACAGAGUAAAGGCACUGGAAGAGGAUUUAGAAAAUUCAAAAAUGGAUUUUGAGAAUCUGGAAAUCAUUUACAAAAACUCCUCUUGCAAGUGUGAUACUCCAGUUUGUGAAAAUUGCGAAAAUCUUGAAAAGAAUGUCCACUAUCUUGUUAAAACAGUGGAUAAGCUUUCUAAAGGCCAAUCUAACUUNNNNNNNNNNNNNNNNNNNNNNNNNNNNNNNNNNNNNNNNNNNNNNNNNNNNNNNNNNNNNNNNNNNNNNNNNNNNNNNNNNNNNNNNNNNNNNNNNNNNUAGAUUUUCAAAAUCAUUUUCGAAAAUGCCAGAAAAACAAUCGAUUGGACCAUCGAAACAAUCGAUUGUUACAUGCUUCUAUUGCAUGAAAAGAGGUCAUUCUGUGCGAUUCUGUAAAAUCAGAAAACAUGUUGUUCCUAAAGGGCUUAUGAAGUGGAUUCCCAAGAAAAAUAAAGCUUGUAUUGAUGAGUAUAAACCAGAUGGACCCACAUUCAUAAGGGGACCAAACCUAUGUACUUGAAAAUCUUUUUUGUAGGACAUCUUGGAGGAAAGAAAGCAACUUUGGUACUUGGACAGUGGAUGCUCCAAGCAUAUGACAUGGGACAAAUGAAAGUUCCUGAGAAUAUCCUUCAAGCAAGAGGGUCAUGUCACCUAUGGAGACAACAACAAAGGAAGAAUUCUUGGAAGAGGAUCCAUAGGAGAUGAGAGAAUCUUGGUGAUCCAUGAUGUGCUCUUUGUUGAAGGCCUAAAGCAUAAUCUUCUGAUCAUUAGCCAACUAUGUGACAAGGGGUAUCAAGUGAUGUUCAAGAAAAACUCAUGUGAAAUCUGUCUGCCCAACACCAAAGAGGUAAUGUUGGUAGGUAAGAGAGUUAACAAUGUGUAUCUUCUAGAUAUCUCUUCACCAUGUUCAAUUGGAUGUCUUCUAUCCAAGCAAGAUGAAUCUUGGCUUUGGCAUAGAAGAAUUGCUCAUAUUCACAUGAAUCAUUUGAACAAGCUAAUUUCAAAAGAUCUCGUGAUUGGGCUGCCAAAACUCAAGUUUGAGAGGGAUCACAUUUGUGAAGCUUGCCAAAAAGGGAAACAAGUGAAAAGUUCUUUUAAAACCAAAAAUGUUGUCUCUUCAUUGAGACCUCUUGAACUCCUUCACAUGGAUCUCUUUGGACCCUCUAGAACUAUGAGUCUUGGUGGAAAUUAUUAUGCUCUUGUUAUUGUUGAUGAUUUCUCUAGGUACACUUGGACUUUGUUCUUGGAAUCAAAGAGUGAUGCCUUUGUUGCAUUCAAAAAGCUAGCAAAAAGGCUUCAAAACACAAAGAACAACAACAUAGGCUCCAUAAGGAGUGACCAUGGAGGAGAAUUCCAAAAUGAGAAGUUUGUCAAGUUCUGUGAGAAGUUGGGGAUUCUACACAAUUUCUCUGCUCCAAGAACACCACAACAAAAUGGAGUUAUAGAGAGGAAGAACAGAUCUCUUGAAGAGCUUGCAAGGACAAUGCUUAGUGAGUCAUCACUUCCUAAGUAUUUUUGGGCAGAUGCAGUGAGCACCUCUUGUUAUGUGAUGAAUAGGGUGCUUAUAAGGCCCAUUUUGAAGAAAACUCCAUAUGAACUUUUCAAUGGAAGGAAGCCUAACAUCAGUCACCUCAAAGUCUUUGGUUGCAGUUGUUUCAUUCUCAACAAUGGAAAGGAAAGUUUGGGAAAAUUUGAUGAGAAAGCUGACCUUGGUAUUUUCAUUGGUUACUCACUCACAAGCCAUGCAUAUAAAGUCUACAACAAAAGGCUAAUGACUGUAGAAGAAUCAGUUCAUGUAGUCUUUGAUGAGGUAGAUCACGAAAUCAGUGAGAACCCAAAGAUCAGUGCUGAGGAAGACGAACAGAGCAUCAGUUUGGAGAAGCUAGAUAUCUGUGCAGAAAAACAACCGGUUGAUUCGCAGAAACAACCGAUUGAAAUUCUGCAACAGAGUGAGCUGCCCAAAGAAUGGAGGAUUCCUAGAGAUCUGUCUGUGGAUAACAUCAUAGGGCAGAUAAAGGAAGGUGUCUCCACACGUAGCUCCAUCUCAAACUACUGCAGACACACAACUUUUGUUUCUCAAAUUGAACCAAAGUCAAUUGAGGAAGCUCUUAAGGAUGAGAAGUGGGUUGAAGCUAUGCAUGAAGAGCUAAACCAAUUUGAAAGAAAUGAGGUAUGGUUUCUUGUCCCUAAAACUAAUGAAAUGAAUAUUAUUGGUUCAAAAUGGGUUUUCAGGAACAAGCUAGAUGAGGAUGGAGUGAUCACUAGAAACAAAGCAAGGCUAGUUGCCAAAGGCUACAANNNNNNNNNNNNNNNNNNNNNNNNNNNNNNNNNNNNNNNNNNNNNNNNNNNNNNNNNNNNNNNNNNNNNNNNNNNNNNNNNNNNNNNNNNNNNNNNNNNNCUGUGAGGCUGCUGCUGGCUUUUGCUUGUAUGAGUGGUUUUAAACUCUUCCAAAUGGAUGUAAAGAGUGCCUUCUUGAAUGGCUACAUCAAUGGGGAAGUCUAUGUAGAUCAACCACCGGCUUUGAAGAUCACAAGUAUCCCAACCAUGUUUUCAAGUUGAAGAAAGCUUUAUAUGGACUGAAGCAAGCUCCAAGGCAGUGGUAUGAGAGACUUAGCAACUUUCUGCUAUCACAUGGUUAUGAAAGAGGAAUGGUAGACAAGACUCUCUUCAUCAAGAAGUCAAAUGCAGAAAUAAUUCUUGUGCAAAUCUAUGUUGAUGACAUCAUCUUUAGUGCCACACAAGAUAGGUUGUGUGAAGAAUUUGUGACUGCAAUGAAAGGUGAUUUUGAAAUGUCUAUGAUGGGAGAACUAUCUUUCUUUCUUGGAUUGUAGGACAAACAAACAAAGGAUGGGAUCUUCCUAAGUCAAUCAAAGUAUUGCAAGGAAAUUCUCAAAAAGUUUGAAAUGGAUAAUUGCAAAUAGGCAAGCACUCCAAUGCCAUCAAGCUGCUACAUGGAUGCAGAUGCUGCUGGAAAGAGUAUAGAUCAAACAAAAUACAGAGGUUUGAUUGGAUCAUUGCUUUAUCUAACAGCAAGUAGGUCGGACAUCAUGUUUGCGGUGUGUCUAUGUGCAAGAUAUCAAGCAAAUCCUAAAGAAUCACACUUCAAAGCUGCAAAAAGGAUUCUGAAAUAUCUAAAAGGAACAUCAUUUGUAGGACUAUGGUAUCCUUCUCAUUCUUUAUUACAUUUAAUUGGUUAUUCAGAUUCUGACUUUGCAGGUUGCAAGCUAGAUAGAAAGAGCACAAGUGGCACUUGUCACCUUCUUGGCUCAAGCCUAAUCUCAUGGCAUAGCAAGAAGCAAGCAUGUGUUGCUCUCUACUGUUGAGGCAGAAUAUAUAGUUGUUGGUAGUUGCUAUGCACAGAUCCUAUGGCUCAAACAACAACUUGCAGAUUUUGGUUUACAAAUCAGCAAAGUUCCUUUGAUGUGUGAUAACACAAGUGCAAUAAAUCUUACCAAAAAUCAAAUCCAGCACUCAAGGACCAAACAUAUUGAAAUAAGACAUCAUUUCAUCAGAGAUCAUGUGCAAAAUGGGAACUGUGAAGUAAAGUUUGUGGAGACCAAACUGCAGCUAGCUGACAUCUUCACAAAGCCUUUGCCAAAAGAGAGGUUCUUCUUCUUAAGAAAUGAAUUAGGUAUUCUUGAUCUUAAUAAUCUCUCUUAAAUAUGUCUUUGAUACAUGUUAAAGUCUAUUUGUAAAGACAAAUAGGGGGAGAAUUAUUGGUUCUUGUAUAUCUGUGUCUUAUAUGCAUAAAAUGUUUAAAUCUCUGAGUAUAAAAGUGUUUUCUGUUGCUGCUGAUAGAAACAACCAAUUGUUUCGUGUAAACAACCGAUUGUUUAUUAUGUUUAAAGAGUUAUAAUCUAACUUGUUGCUGUAAGAAGCUUUGGACAGUAUAAAUGUUUUUUUUGCAAGAAUUGCUUCAGAUUUAAUCAGUACAACACAAGCACCAGGGAUUUGUCUUCAUCAAAUAGGGGGAGAUUGUUGAACCAAGUGGUGUUCAAUGUUUUGAAGAAUCCAAACCCUUUGGAGGAUGUUGAAGCCUCUGCUUUGCUGUGUGUUGCUGUGCUGGUUUAAGCUUUGUUCUGGGGUAGUUUAAUGUUGUAAUCCACCCUUAGAUUAAAUCUCAAGCAAUUAGCAUCUCAAUCUUUAUCAAAGUAACUGGAAGAAAGUGAAUGCUCUUCAGUAGUCGAUCAACUAUCCCCUAAACUGGAUCAUGACCCCUUACUGCUCUUGGUAAUGGGUAACAAAAUCCAUAGCAAUGUUAUCCCAUUUCCACUCAUGAAUAAUAAUAAAAAAAUUAUAUUAAUAAUAAUAAAAAAAAUUAUAUUAAUAAUAAUAGUAUAAAUUAUAUUAAUAAUAAUAGUAUAAAUUAUAUUAAUAAUAAUAGUAUAAAUUAUAUUAAUAAUAAUAAUAUAAAUAAUAACAAUAGUAUAAAUUAUAUUCAUAUUAUUCAUAUUAAUAAUAUUAUUAAUACUAUUCGUAUUAUUAAUAUUAUUCGUAUUAUUAAUACUAUUCGUAUUAUUAAUAUUAUUCGUAUUAUUCAUACUAUUCAUACUAUUCAUAUUAUUAAUACUAUUCAUAUUAUUAAUACUAUUCAUAUUAUUAAUAAUAAUAAGUAUAAUAAAAAUCAUAAUAAUAUUAAAGAAUUUGUUUGGUGUUGUGGUUAAAGUUUUUUUAGUUAUUGAAGGAACUUUUGUUCGAAUCUCAUCCAAUGCUGAUUUUAUUUUAAUUUCCCUUUCAUGGUGCCAAAGUUACAUACGAAAAAAUAUGUAUGUAAUACCUGUUUACAUACGGAUUUUGAUCCCCUGGAUAAUUCAUCAAAUGAAAAUCAUAAUUUCAUAAACUCCACCCAUCUUCUCUACUUCAUAUUCAACUCCUUUUAAUCAAACAAGUAUUUUAGAUUUUUGUGAUCCUUAAACACCUGUAAUUAAGCUCCAUACAAAUAAUGUCUUCAAAUCUUCAAAGUAAACACCACAAAUACCAACUCUUAGUUAUAAAUAGGAUAAUUUCUCUUAUGAACUUUGAGUUGCCUUAAAGCAUAUGUUGUCUUCUCUAACAUUAAAACACAAUUCAAUCCUUUACGUGAAGCAUCAUAAUAAACCUUGAUAGAUUUUUCUAUAUGAGAAAUCACCAACAUUGAAUUACUAACAAACCUUUUCUUCAACUCCAUGAAACUUUCCAGUAUCUCUCAGUGCAAAAGUUUGAUUUUCAGAAGUUAAUUGUGUCAAGGUGCUUCUACCUUGAAAAAAUAUCCGAAACAAAAGUGUUGUUAAUUAGUCUCAAACAGAUAGGUAGUAUACUGUGUUAUGAAAAUAUUUGCAGGUUCCUUCUGUGUCCUUUUCAACUUCAUCUUCUCCCUUGCAACCAGCGAUAUCGGUGACUUAUUAUCGCUUGAAUCUAACUCAUGAGUGAAUGAAGUCCAGCUCUAGCAACUAACUCAAAACUGGGAGAGAAGGAGUUCGCGACGGAGUUUGUGGCGGAGUUUGUGGUGGACUAGGUGGUUUAAUAGGCUUUAAAAUACUUUGAAAAGAAUGGGAAGCAGAGGAUAUAAUGGCAGGAGGGGUAACGACGGGUACUCAAACGAGUAUACCACCUUCUUCUUCUCAAAUUUCCCUCAUGGAUAUGGGGAGAUGGACAUGGUGAAGAUUUUUCAAAAACAGGCCAAGGUGAAAGAAGUUUUUAUCUCACGAAGGUUGAACAGAUGGGGGAGAAGGUUUGGUUUUGUGAGGUUUUUUUACGUGAGAAAUGUGGGACGCAUGGAGAGAGACCUGGAUAGCUUAUAUAUCGGGAACAUGAAACUUCACGUAAAUAUACCGAAAUACCGAAGGAAUACAAUGGGAAUACAUAAGGGGGACAGGAAGGAUCCAAGGGCAUCUCACUCUGGAAGGAAGAGGGAUGGAGGGAAGCGUAAGGAGGUUUGGGUGGAGAAGAAAAGGAAUUUGUCCUAUGCUGAAGCUGUGAAAGGGGAAGUGCAGUAGGAAGAGUGGAAGGGGAGAACGAUAGAAGUUGAAACGCAUAGUCUCCCUUGGAUGGAAAAAAGUGUUGUUGGGCAUCUUAAGGAAGGCAUGGACUUCGAUCAACUGAGUGAGGAUUUAGUGAAAGAAGGCAUGAAUAGGUUGAGAGCAAGAAUGUUGGGAGAUAACCUAAUCCUUCUAACCCCAAGAGAAGGGGAGAAAGCUAGGGAUAUUAUCAAGGAUAACAAUGAAUGGUUUGACAAUGUCUUCACAAGCAUAAAGUCGUUCCUGGAACGGUGAAGAGCAUGCAAAUCAAUAAACAAAGGUGUUGUAUCCUUAUUGAAGAAGAGACCCCUGUUUACUAUGGUGACUUGAAUAUGGUAAACGAGUGUGGUUAUGGAUCGUUUGUUAGUGUGUCUUCCUCGGACACAUAUGUAGAAGAAACAGCCUUUUCAACCAGAAGCGGGGAGGAGGAGAUUCAUUCGGGGUUUAGGGAGGUUGUUCGUUCAAAAGGGGAGGAGGUGGUAGGUGAGACGACGGAAGACGGUGAGCAGAGUAGGCAAAAAAUAAAUUUGCCUUUUGGGAAAUCAUAUCCAAAAAAUCUAUCAUGUCAGAGGAGUGGGUGCAGUUCCUUCAUGAAUGAAGAAAGCUUAGGCCAGAGGGUGGCUCAAGGUGCAAAACUAGAUUGUGACCUUACACAAAAUCGUAAAUACUCAUCCAACGGCUAUGCUGAAAAUGCUGAGCUGGCAAAAGCGGUCAUAGAGGUGGAGUGUUACACCCCGAUGCGAAAAAUCUGGGCCACGAGCUGGAGGCCCAUUAUCACGUAUUAUAGUCCUCAAAUCCAGCCCAAUCCAAGGAGGAUGAUCCAAGGAGGAUGGUUAUGAGGCAGGGCCUUUGCAGAAGGGUUGUGAAUGUGGGGAAGGAAAAGAAGACCGUUUGGACGACAACACGAACGGUGAAAAGGAGGAGGGAAGUGCCGAUGAGAGUGAAGGAAGCGAUAAAGGGAACCCAGCGAAGGCGCAUAUGUUAAUGACGUCGAAUGCGGUGAACGAGUGUCUACAAGUAGGGGGAGAGGAAAGAACUCUGAUCCUGGACAUUCUAGAGGAAGCAACUGAGGGAGGCAACACCUCUACUCCGCCACGAAGACGAAAGCUGAAAGGGCUCUUUGAACUAGGGGAUUCGAUAUCCUUUCUGAGAAGAUCUGUGAGACUCAUUUCAAGGAGUGCUAAAGCUAAGCCCUCUUCAAGUGGUAGAGACGGUAUGUGCUCAAACUCUGUAUCUGAUGGGGGAGUUGUCAAUUGCAAUUUACGUUUUUCUGGGCCUAGUGGUAUGGCGGAUCCAUCUAAACGGUGGGAGAUUGGAAAGAAAGCUGGGCUUAAAUGUCGGGGGGAUGAGGAAGAGGUUGUUAAUGAAUACAUCUGUUUGGAAAAGAGAGAUACAGAGGUUAUGAAGAACUAUGAGGAGGGAGACAAGAAUGAUAAUAUAUGUUGAUUGUUAAUUUGAAUAUAAGAGGAUUGGGGGGAAGUGUUAAGGCUAGGUACUUGAGACAUAUUAUUGCAAGAGAGGAUGCGAAUUUUGCUUGUAUUCAAGAAACGAAAGUGAAUGCCAUUACGGAUGCAAGAUGCUUCAACCUAUGGGGGGGAUAACAAUGUGGGGUGGCUACAUUAUGGAGGUGAUAAUGGUAGUGGAAGCUUGUUAUCCUUAUGGCAUAAAGAAGCGUUUUGCUAUGAAACACAUGUGAUGGCGAAGAAGUUCAUUGCUGUUUUUGGAAAACAUAUUAAAUCCAAUUGUAGUUGUGUGGUGGUAAAUGUUUACGCAGCCUGUUCUUUAAGUGACAAGUUAGUGUUGUGGAGGGAACUGUCAGAUUUAAAAAAGGCCUCCUCAGAUGUGGUAUGGUGUUUCUGUGGUGACUUUAAUGCCAUUAGAAAGAAUGGUGAGAGGAAAGGUGUUAGCAUGAGGGACGGCAACACGAGCGAAAUGAGAGAUUUUAAUCUGUUCAUCGAAGCUAAUCUUUUGUUUGAAAUCCCUUUGGUGGGUAAGCCCUUUACGUGGUUUAACUCUAAUGGGAAGGCCAAGAGUAGGUUAGACAGAGUGUUGGUAACCGAAGAAUGGAUGCAAACAUGGCCUAUGUGUAAGCAGUAUGUGCAAAACAGGGAGGUCUCUGAUCACUGUGCAAUAGUGGUGAAGUCUGUGGAUAAGGAUUGAAGCCCAAAACCCUUUAGAACCAUCGAUGCCCGGUUUAUGGAAAGGGGUUUUGGUGUAAUGGUUAAGGAUAAGUGGAGUUCUUAUGUAAUACAAGGGAAUGCACUCACGGUAUUAAAAGAGAAGAUGAAGAGGUUAAGGGUGUUCUAAAGGUAUGGAACAGGGUUGAAUUUGGUAAUAUGGAGAACACUAAGAAGGCUAUUUUGAAGGAAAUAGAGACGCUAGACUGCCAAGACUGCAAUGGUGCUUUGAUGAAAAGUGAGAGGCUACAUAAGAUUGGGUUGGUGAGUAAACUGAAGGAGACUGAUCAGAAGUUGGAGUCCCUUAUAUGCCAAAAAGCUAGAGCCAGCUGGUUUAAGAAUGGAGACUCAUGUUCUAAAUUCUUUCAUUCAACCCUGAGAUGGAGACGCCUCAAAAAUGAAAUUAAAGGGGUGGAGGUGGGGGGUCAAUGGUGCGAGGAACCGCCUACUGUUCGUAAGGAAGCAAAGAAGAUGUUUGAAAAAAGAUUCAAAGCCUCAAGAGACUUCGAGGUAGUAUUAGAAGGGGUGGAGUUUAAAGCUUUAACCCAGGAAGAUAAUACCAAUCUGAUGGCAGAGUUCUCAGAGAAAGAAAUGAGGGAAGCAGUAUGGCGUUGUGAUGGGUCGAAGAGUCCAGGACCUGAUGGGUUUAAUUUUAACUUCAUUAAGAAUAGUUGGGAGGUCAUAAAGGAAGAAGUUAUGGGUGUUAUGGCUGCCUUUUAUGCUUCUGGUUAUAUUCAAAAGGGAUGCAAUGCUUCUUUCAUAGCACUAGUUCCUAAGGUAAGGGACCCCGUAAUGCUAGAACAGUAUAGACCUAUUUCUCUAGUAGGGGCUAUGUAUAAGAUUAUUUCUAAGGUCUUAGCAGAAAGAUUAAAGAAGGUCUUACCCUCCAUUAUAGAUGAAAGUCAAUCGGCUUUUCUAAAGGAUAGAGGGAUUCUUGAUAGUGUGCUUUUGGUCAAUGAAGCGAUUGAGGACCUGAGAAGGAGAGGGAGGAGUGGGUUAUGUAUGAAGGUAGACUUUGAGAAAGCGUACGACUCGGUCAGCUGGGCUUUCCUCUAUGACAUGUUACAAAAGUUGGGGUUUCAUAGUAAGUGGAUUGCUUGGAUCCGAGGAUGUAUGGAAAGUACCACAGUCUCAGUGCUUGUUAAUGGAAGCCCCACGGAGGAAUUUAAACCCUCUAGAGGGGUGCAUCAGGGCGAUCCAUUAGCCCCAUUCCUUUUCUUAGUGGUAGCAGAAGGCUUGAAUGGUAUAGUAAGACAAUCUCUGAAGGAAAGGCUGCUCACAGGCCUCAAGUUCGGUAGAGACGAGAUCGAAUUGGCUAUUCUCCAGUUUGCGGAUGACACAAUGUUCCUAUGUGAGGAUUUUUACAACAAUGUGGUGACUUUAAAGGCUAUUCUUCGAGGAUUUGAGGUGGCCUCAGGGUUGAAGAUUAAUUUCUACAAAUCAAAAUUAGCAGGUAUCAAUGUCCUCAGACACAAUAUGGCAUGUUACACAAAGACUUUGAACUGUGCACAGAUGAGUAUUCCGUUUAAAUACUUGGGUUUGGAAGUGGGAGGGAACCCUAGGAAGAAAAAUUUUUGGGAUCCGGUGGUUAACAAUUUAAAAGCCAGACUUAAUGUGUGGAAAGGGAGAUUCUUAUCUAUGGCGGGAAGAAUAUGCCUUAUCAAAGAUGUGCUUACUGCUAUUCCACUCUACUAUCUAUCUCUUUUCAGAGCACCGGUAGCGGUGUGUAAGAGUAUCACCAGAAUUCAGAGAAGGUUUCUGUGGGGUUGGGGGAAGGAGAAGGAACCCAUCUCAUGGAUUAGUUGGAAAAUGGUUUGCAAACCAAGAGAGGAAGGUGGUCUGGGACUUAGAGAUAUUCAGAACUUUAACAUAGCUUUGUUGGCUAAAUGGAAAUGGCGUCUUAUAGGUGAAGAGAAGGGGAGGUGGAAGGAAAUGGUGGUCUCCAAGUAUGGAUCGGGUUAAGAAGUCCCACAAAUACCAGUGAGACUCCAAUCUUGGUGGUGGAGAGAUCUGUCUAAAGCUUGUGGGGAGGGCGGAGAUAAAGGAUGGUUCCAAAAAGAAGUAGGGUGGAAAGUAGGAUGUGGUGACAAAGUAAGGUUUUGGGAGGAUGUCUGGAUUGGGAAUUCUAGCCUUAAAAAUAUGUUUCCUAGAUUAUUUACUCUGUCCCUGAAUCAGGGGCAAAAGGUGGAAGAGGUUGGUAGGUGGGGCGAUGUGAUAUGGAGGUGGAACUUAAGGUGGAGACGUGCAAGAUUUGAGUGGGAAUCCAAGUUGGAAGAAGAGAUGUUAGUGUACUUGUCUACGACCAGUUUGCUCCGAGAAGAGAAGGAUGGGCAUACGUGGGGGAGUGAAGAUGAAAGGUGUUUUUCAGUGAGUUCUGCAUAUGUGUGCUUGGCUAACCAAGGAAGAGGACCACGCCUUGGGGUGUUUAAACUUCUUUGGAAGGCUAAAUCUUUCCCUAAUGUGGUGACCACGGCAUGGAGGGCCCUGACGGAUAGUCUACCAACUAGAGAGAGGUUGAGCAAGAAAGGGGUGAUGUUGAAUAAUCCCCUAUGUGUCCUUUGUCAGACUAAGGUAGAAUCCAGUCAACAUCUUUUUAUGGAAUGUAAACAUGCGCUGUGUGUAUGGUCGAUGUGCUUAAGAUGGGUUGGUAUAGUGCUUGUCCAACAUAAUGACAUAAAGAUCAACUUUGAGAGUUUCCACUUGUACCAUGUUAAUAAUAAACAAAAUUUGGUUUGGAGUGGGGUUUGGGUAGCAAUUGUGAGGAGUAUAUGGGAUCAAAGGAAUGAGGUGGUGUUCAAGCAGGGAGUAGUAGAUGCAUAUGAGAUUUUCCAAAAUGCCCAAAUCAAAGCAUGGUUAUGGUUAAAACAUAAAUCAAACUUUUUCACUUACUCUUAGGUAGAUUGGAUCCUAAAUCCAAUGGUAUGCAUCACAAGCUUGAAGUAAGUGGGGCGGAAGGCAGCUACUUGGUGUGACGAAGGCAGGAGGUGGUGUAGGUGUAUCUGGAGGGAGAUGUUAUCACAAGGAAGAGAGCUGACGUGAGAGGGAUGAUAUGGUGAAGGAGCUCUCCUCUGCUGCAGUUGUACGAUAUCUGUGGAGUCAUUGUAUUCUGUUUUCUAUGCAGGUGUGCGUAAGGAUGGAAUAGAUUCUACGUUGGUUAGAGUAGUAAAAUAUGUGGAGCUAUAAACUGGUGUAGCUGGAACUUGGUGGUGAAUACAUAUGGGAGCCGAGUAGACGCAGAACAAGUUGGAGCUGCAGAAGAGGUCCCGAUGAUGCAGAGCUACGGUGGUAACAAGGAUUCAUCCUCCUUGCGACUUUGGAUGCGGAAACUCUUCCUAUGCCAAGGUUUUUGCUGAUCAUUACAGUGUUUCAUGUUUGGGAUAGCAUCGCUGUAAGUUAGUUUAGUGCCAUCAGGUUAUGCUUUUUAGCAGGAUGGGAUUAAGAACCAUUUUAUUUUGUUGUUGUCUAGCUUUUAUUGAAAACGUGGUGAAACCCACGUGUGUAGGGCCUUGCUGAGAGGUUCAUCUGCUGCAGGUUUGGAAGCCUAAAUUACAUGGGAGCUCCACAUGUGACGGAUGGGUUGUUGUAUAAGGGUUGGGACAUCCCUGAAAUGUUCCUAUUAAUUUAUUUAUUCUUUGCUGAUAAAAAAAAAAAUAUUUGAAACAAAACUAAAUUCACAAAACUCCUUAUUUCUUUCUAUGACUAUCUUAUAUGUUUCUUAGAUAUUCCUUUUAAAACACUGUCUUCCACCUCGACCAAAUCUACGGAGAUUUCCUUAGCUGAUAUCACAUCUUCAAGUAAAUUAACUUCCUUCAGCUAGAACAUCCCACUAAGUUGUAUCUGUAUUGUUAUCAGAGUUGAAUCUCCUUUCCUCUCUCAAACAACCCACAAGUUGUAUCUCUAUUGUCAUAUAAUUCAAUCACAUUUUUAACGUGAGGCAACACGGAAGAUAUUCCAGCUACAUUUUCUUUGGCUCUCGUUUAUACACGUAAGUGAGAGUGAAUAUGCGGUUCCCUCAAACAAUGCAGCGUACGUAAACUGUUAUAUAUAUUCAUCAUAUAUAUUCAAAAUCUACCCCAACAUAGCACAGUGACACAACUGAAAAGUGUGUCUGCAUUACAACAUUAAAAUGUAUUUAGUAUCGUACAUGAUCAUGAGUAGCAAUGUGUACUAAAAAGUUUGAGUCCCAGAGUCUUCACUGUAAGUCUGUGGCUCAUUCAAACAUGUCCACUCCUUUACUCUAUCUCCAAAAUCCUUGAAGCCAACUUCUGCAUAGUCCUGGAACGGUGCAAUAAUUAUAUAAAAUAACUUUUAAGAUUAACUAAAAUAUAUUUGCUUCAUCUUAAUUGAUCAUAUUUUGUAAUCUGUUUGGCUACAGAUUAGCUUCGUGAUCUGUGGAUGUCACUGUAUUGGUGUAGUGUUUUGUAAAUUUUUUCAUUGGUAGGUAUAUUUUAUAUAAGGAUUGGGUUCAUUUAAUUUAUUUCUUUUUAUUGAUAAAAGAAAUCUUAGUUUAUCCGCACGUCUUAAUUUUUUUAAAAAUAUAAACAUAUUGUAAAUCUUAAAUUUAUGCUAAUAUCCUUUAAUAUUGUUCUAGAAACGAAAAGGUGAUUAGUCGUGGUAACUUUUUAUUCAACGUAAUUAUUAAAUUCUAAAUCCCAAAAAUAUCUCAUAUGAUUUUCUUCCACCAUUUUAUUUAUAAUGUUAAAAAUACUCGUGAUUCUAGUAUUUCGAAUUUGAUAAAAAUUAAAAAUUAACUAGUACAUUAGCAAAAUAUUUAAUUUUAAUUCAUUCAAUAUUAUUGAUAAAACUAUCUUAAAAACUUUUCCAUGAUUAUGGUUGGAUGAUAAUCGUUAAUUUAUAAAACUCAUAUUAUUAGAAUAGAUUUUAUUAGUGUAAUGUUUAAAUGAAAAAGAGGUUGUCAGAAAAAUGUAUUAUUAAAUUUUGAAUACUGUAAAUAAAACAAUAAGCAUUGAUCAACAUUCUUUAUUUAAUUCCUUCUACGUGCAAGCAACUUUUUCUUGUAUAAAGAGCUCGAUCCUACAUACCGAUAGCUAUUAAAAAUAUUUAUUUAACUGAGUUUUUCUUUAUUAAAUAUGAAACAAUGAAAAAAAAAAUAGACAUUGUCCACAUCAGUUAAAAUAAUGUAAAAAAAAUUUGGCGCUUAGGUAACCCACUAUCUACACUUAUCAUGGAACUCACAUUGGUACCUUAUGUUUCAAAUUCUCCCAGCAGAGCUGCAUAUAUGAAUUACAGAGACCUUGAUAUUGGGGUAAAUAACAAUGGCUACACAAGCUACACACAAGAUAAAUAAUUUUUUAAUUUAUAUUUUGUUAAACAUGUACGAUCAAUUAAACUAAUAUUCACUACCAAGUAGUACAGUCAACUUAGUUAUUUCUAAGUCGAUCGACACAAAUAGAAUUCACUUAAUAUUAGACUAUAAUUCACUUAAUAUUAGACUAUAAUAGAGUAGGUUUAAUCAUUCUAAGUCGAUGCUAAUUAUUUUAACAUUCUUAACCAGUAAAAAUAUUUUAUGUUAGUGUUAAAUUAAUGUUAAUUUUGUCAAUGCUAACUAAUAUAAAUAUUAAAAUUAGUAAAUGAUGGAAGAAGUGUCUUCAUGUGUGACAAAACUUGAAUGAUGGUGGCGAAAGCAUAUGAAAGAGGCAUGCAAGGAUCUCCUAAGAGAUGUGGUAUCUUUAAAGGUGCAUGAGAUGUAUGAUGAGUGAUAGGUUAGGCCUAAUCACUUGAAGGGUGAAGAAUGAAGAUCAAACGUCUAUCCUAGGAAGAGUAGAAGACAAGAGUGUAAUUGGCAUAAAUUUUGCAAAAAUUCACUCAUAUGCUUAAUUUUGCAAAUACAUGAACCAAGCUACUCAUUAUAUAACAAUUGAGGGCUGAAAAUUCAAAUGAGGGAAAUUCAAAUGAACUUUCCACCAAAACGUGGCGUCUAAUGAAACACAUGGGAGGGGUGUGACUAGUGUUGUACGCUCACCCCCUUUAUGGGCUUUCUAAACCGACCUUGGUUAAUUUAGAGGUUUUAGAAACCCUAAAUUAACCUAGGUUGGUGUUUUAGGUGCCAAAAUUAAUUCUAAGAAAAAAUACAAAUAAUUUCCUAUUCUAAUUAAAUUCUACUCUACACUAGAGUUACGACAUCCUUGAUCAUGUAUUGGGAAGUUUCUCUGUUGUCAGUAGCCAUAUCCCAGUCUUCUUGGAUCUUCUUGGCUGUAGCUCUAGUGGUAGGCCCGAAUCUUCUCUUUGUUGGACUUGUAUUUGAACUUGUCCUUAGACCUCUUCCAUCAGUAAGGUUCGUAUAAACCUAGUUGAUGCUAAUAUUAUUUAUUGUCUAUUUCUAUUAUUUAUAUUUAUUAAGUUAGUGUAAGUUAGAUCAACAUUAAUUUCUUUAUUUUAUUACUUAUUUAAGUUAAGUCAACAAUAGUAUAAUAUAUUUUUAAUAUUUAUUUAAGUUAGUGUCAGUUAAAAUGAUGUUAAUUCAUAUGUUAUGAAUUUAUGUGUAUUGGUAAAAAUAAAUAUAAACCAUGAAUUAUUUUUAAUCAAAAGGCAUUCAUAAUUUGAAAGUGAAGAUCGUCCUCAACAUAUCAUUCAUAAUUUCAUUAGUUUUAAAAAAUUACAUAAAAAGAAAAUAAUGUAAUAUAUUUAAGACACUGUAAUAGUAUAUAUUCUAUAAUAAAAGAUUGAAUAAACAUAAUAGUAUAUAUUCUAUAAUAAAAGAUUGAAUAAACAGGAAGAACCAUAAUGUAGAUUUUUUUUUCAAAAUGGUAUAGUUGAUAUGAAAUUAUCUUAUGUUAAUGAAAAAACACUGAAUUGGAAUAAAUGCUUUCUCUUACACACAGAGGAGAAAUUUUUCCCUAUGAUUUAUUAUAAUAAUGACAAAACUUAAUUUUACGAAAAAUUGAUUCCUAAGAAGAAUAAAUGGAAGACUUGCAUUUUUUGUUGUUUUAUGUUUAAUUAUAGGUGAGAAAGAUCUUUUUCCAGCAUGAUAACUUGUUAAGAUUUCAACAUCCAACAUGUUCAUGUAGAAUCCACAACAUAGUAAUCUUGUUCCAUUACAUAACACAAAUUUAGGGUCUAUGUUUCACAAGAAUGGUGCCCCUUUUAUUAAGCUUUAAAAUAUGGGGUGGCAAGCCAUCUAAAGCAAUGGAGUGCAAAUACUCUUGUUGGUAUAUAUUAUGUGUGUCUCCUUCAACCUCAUCAAAAGACAAUAAAUGGUGUUGUUUUCCCGAAUAAUUAUCAAUAAUCAUGUCAUUAAUUUUUUUCAGCAACUUCAUGUUUUGGAGUCAAUACUCUCUUAACCAUAUAAAAUGCAAUCCAUAUAUGAAAUUGCAAUUGAGGAAAUGUUUCUUGUGUAAGUUUUUGUAUUAAACUCACUCAUUCCCAUGGUAUUGCUAGUUAAUGGAGUAUUUUCACCAUUUUUUUAUUAGCAAAGAAUAAAUAAAAUAAAAUGAGGCACUCAAGGGUGUCCCCAACCCUUAUACAAAUAAUCCCAACACAAGCUUCUUAUCACCCAACCAAUUGGAGAUCCAACAAACAUUAUGACACAUCAACAACAUUAACAUACCAUAAUAAGAUACAAGAGAACAUCAAUAUACAAUUACAUCAACCCUCCAAAGGAACACAUUCUCAAGACAAGACACAAAAGUCCAACAACUAAACUCAGUCUUUGUCAGUAAACAGAAGUAAACCAAACACCCAAGCGCCAAAUCCAUCAAGUCGACCCUACGAUGAGGAUAUAGUAGUCAAAAAUCCUGCACAAAACACACCACGUCUUCCAAAUCUGGACAAAUCAUUGAACAAGAAUCAUCAAACAUCAGUCUCUUAAAUAUCUCAUAUAACAUAAAGGUUUCAAAUACCAAUCCGAGUAGGAUAAAUCAACUAAUCUUUCCUUUACCAGAACCCAAGACCAAAAUUGGAGUAUUUUCACCAUUUCAUCAAGAAUUGUAGGUUCAAUCCCUUCUCCGAUGUGCUUGAGAUAUUCUACAAAAUUGUGAUCUUGUAAUGAUCAUAUGUUUUGUUGUAAAUGUAACACCUUUGUGUUACUUCAUAAAGGAGAUUUGACAAUACAUGCAUAAAUCAUUUCUAUCUUUGUACUCUUUUGAACGAUUAACAAUACUCAACAAAAAUCUCCUCCUAAUAUUCUCACUUUUACCUCAAAUGGAACAUCACAACUAGAAUCUCAUUUAAUGAUCGAUCUUAUGUCUUCAAAGCAUAUCUGUUAGUCAUGGGUGUUUCAUCACAAAUAAUUGUUUUUGUUUCUCUUAAUAGAUUUGCAAGAUCUAAUUAUUUGCUUAUUGAACAAAAGGAACUAAAGAAUGUGAAAUUCGACAACUAGGUAACAAUGUUGCUGCUAUACUAGAGAAGUUUGUUGCUAAAAUAAUUUUUCCUUUACAUUUGUAAUAUGCAAUUUAUGUACGGUAAAGGAAUGUUUUACUAGUUCCUCUUAGUCCAUCCAAAAAAAAUAUUUGAAUUUGCUUAUAAUGGAUUAUAUCUAAAAUGGUAUUAAAAGCAAUCAAAUGGUCAAUGUUUAACACUACAAAAAAACUUGUAUGUGGUGGCGGUUAUUAAAAACCGCUACAGUUAGUUGUAUAAUACGACAACUUCAUAACCGCCAUAAUUUUUCUUUAAAAUGUGGCAUGUAGAAUCACCAUAAUUAUCCUCUGAAAUAAAUGUUCUCCCGCAUUUUGUUCCCUAAGUAACCUUCCUCUUUCCUAAUGUUUUUUUUUUCGUAUUUCAUUUUUUCACUCUUAAAUAUACAACUUUGACUCUUUUUUCGUAUUCGGCCCUCACUCACUGAAUUUUCCCCUCUUUUGUAUUCCCCUCGCUGAACCUUCUCACCGUAACACAACCUCUCUAACUAAACCUUCCUCUAUUUUGUAUUCCCCUCUCUUAGUGAACCCUUUUCAUUGCAACUGUUCUCAUUCUGUGCAACCCUUCUCUUCUCACUCUCAUUAGAAAUCCUUCACAUUCUCAAUCUCACUGAAAGCCUUUCAUAGUCUCACCACAAACCCCUCUUCUCACUCUAAACGAAAACCCCUCUUCUCAUUCUUACCAGAAACUCUUCUUCUCAAUCUCAUCGCAAAGUGUUCUCACUCUCACUGUUUUCAGCCUCAUUGCAAACCAUCUCACCCUCUCACUCUUCACACCGUAAUUUUUUACCGCCAUUGCCGUCGCAAUCAUUGGUUUGUUGUUGCAACAGGUACAUCGUCGCAACGAAUCUACUUUUUUGCAAUGUUAUGAUUUUGAAAUUGGAUUGAAUAUAUAUUUGUUAAAUACUGUUUGAGGUAUGAGCUGAAAUGCAUUGAAUAUGAUUUUGAAAUUGGAGUAAAUGUAUAUUGCUAAUAUAGUUUGAGGGAUGGACUGAAAUGCAUUGAAUAUGAUUUUUAAAUUGGAUUGAAUAUAUAUUGGCAAAUACAGUUUGAGGGAUGUGCUGAAAUGCAUUGAAUAUGAUUUUGAAAUAUUGGAUUGAAUAUAUAUUGAUAAAUACAGCUUGAGGGAUGGCCUUAAAUGCAUUUUUUUUAUCAACAAAAGCCUGAAAUGCAUUGAAUAUAUAUUGUUAAAGUUUCGUGUAAAUAUCCUUAUCUAAGGUUUGGGAGACUAUAAAAGAUGUUGUGUUGAGUGAUAUGAAAAUAAAAUGUUUUCAAGGAUAAAAUAUAAUUAAAGGGUUGACAACAGUUUAUUUGUACCUUGUAAUGCGAUGAAUGGGGUUGACUUUUGUUGAAUCUUAAAUGUAAUAAUAAAGUAUAAUGUUAAACUGAUUAUCUCUUUUCAGUCCUUAAGCAUUUUGCUGUCCUUAUGCAUUUCCUUUUUCAUAAAUGUAAUAAUAAAACAUGAUGUUAAACUUCAUAUGUAAAUGCUUCUAGUUAUUAUAUAUGGAGAAAUUUUCACACCUAAAUGCUUCUGAUUAUAUAGGGAAAUUACAUAUGAAAAAACUUCAACAUGUAUACGCUCCUAAUCAUUAUAUAAAAAAAUAAAAAUUCACACGUAAAAAUUUCUACUUGACUAUGACGUCAUUGUCUACCAAAAUAUUCGUAUAUGAAUAAAAAAAUUGUAUAUAAAUUCCAAUUAUAUUCAAAAUAUAUAAAUGCGCCUAGUCAUUAAAAAAAUUAUUAUCAUUAAUAUUAUUCCUAUUAAUAAUAAUAACAAUAUUAUUUAUUAUUAAUUGUUAUUAUUAUUGAUAAUAAUAAUCAUAAUAAUAGUAAAAUUAUUAUUAUCAUCAUUAAUAAUAAUAAUAAUUAUAAAAAACUAAAUUAAUCAGUAAUUUUUGUUAUAUAUUUAGUUAUAAUAUUUGUGUUCGAUUCUACUCUAACAACACAGUAAUAUUAAUAAAAAUAAAAAUAUUAAUAAAAAUAAUUGUAAUAAUAAAAUUAGUUAUAAUCAAAAUAAUGAUAUUAAUGUCCAAUCAUUGCCUAAACAGUUUAUAAAAUUUUAAUACCUAAUGAUAUUUGUUGAUAAUUUUUGAAUGUUCUUUCCUCACAAAUAACGUGGUAUCUAUAUAUUGUCAGAACAACUGGUCAUUUAUAAUUCUCUCGGUGUGCUCUGGAAGUUUGUUUGCUGCAGAUUUAUUGCAGCUCAAUAGAGGACGCAAUGCUGCAGAUGAUGUGAAAGAAUUAAUUGCAGUAGGUGUUUCAACCACAACUGAUGAAGUUCUUUUAUAUCACGAACAUAUGGAUGGUGGCCUGAUUGUGAUUUUGGUUGAGUGAUACAAGGUGCAAUCUUGGUACACAGGAAUAAAGCUGAAGAUCUCGGCAGGAAGUAAUUCUGGUUGCUGCUAUAGGUAGUUGAGAGAGGUAGCACCAGUUAUUAAGCUUUGGAUGUGGAGGUUGUGUUGCAAGCCACUCGUUAAGGUAGUUGUCAAGUUGGUGGGAGGAUUACGUUGGUUUUCUGGUGGUUUUGAAAUCCUGUUUAGUGUUAUUUGCACCAGUCCAACAGAAUAAUAGAAACAGAAUGGAGGCUGGUGUAGGUUGUUUAUUUAUGCAGUAGUUUUUAUUUUCCUCCUAUUUUGGGGAGUUCUUUUUAGAGGUCUUAAAACAUGAUUGAGAGUGUGUAAAGGGUUAGGAUAUCCUUUUCUAUCUCUCUUAAUUUAAUUUCAUUCCUGAUAAAAGAAAAUGUAAUAUAUAAUUCAAUAACAUUUUUAACGUGACGCAAAACACGGAAGAUAUUCCAGCUACAUUUUCUUUGGCUCUCGUCUAUACACGUAAGUGAGAGAGUGACUAUGCGGUUCCUACAAACCAUGCAUGCAACGUACGAGAAAUCUCAUAUCUAUUCAAUCAUAUCUAUUCAAAAUCUACCCCCAACAUAGCACAGUUACAAAACUGAAAAGUGUGUCUGAAUUACAAUAUUAAAAGUAUUUAGUCUCGUACAUGAUAAUGAGUAGCAAUGUGUACUAAAAAUACUUAUAUGAACUAAUUCUAGUAUUUCGAAUUUGAUAGAAAUUAAAAAUUAACUAGUACAUUAGGAAAUACUUUAAUUUUAAUUCGUUCAAUUUUAUUGAUAAAACUAUCUUAAAAAAAAUUCCGUCAUUAUGAUUGGAUGAUAAUCGUUAAUUUAUAAAAUUCAUAUUACUAGAAAAGAUUUCAUUAGUGUAACAUGUUUACAUGAAAAAGGAAAACUUAUCUUUUCACACUAAAACACACACUUUACAAUUCUUUAUAAUAAUAUUUUUAAUUAAAAAAUAAAAUAAAAAUAAUAAAAAUAUUAAUAUUUUAGGAUGUUACAUUUCACAACUCUUUAUAAUAAUAUAAUAAUAUUUUAAAUCAAAAAAUAAAAUAAAAUAAAAUAAAAAUAUUAAUAUAUCACUUCUCAAUAAAAAAAAGUUGUCAGAAAAAUAUAUUAUUAAAUUUUGAAUAUGGUAAAUAAAACAAUAAGCAUUGAACAUCCCUUAUUUAAUUCCUUCUAUGUGCAAGCAACUUUUUCUUGUAUAAAAAAGUUCUAGUCUCUAUACUUCUGCACUCAGGAUGUUAACAUAAAGGAAAUAAUCUCGGAUGCUGAUAUGUUACCACUAAAAAAAAUCUACUUCUCAAAUUAAUAAAAUAAUAUUUUAAUCAUAUUUAAUUUAUUUUUUAAUUUUAAAUAUUAUAUUAUUAUUAUAAGAUGACUUUUUUUAUAUAUAUUUUACUGUGUAUGAUGUGGAAGAAAUCUUUCCCAACAACCUCAUUCUUCAAAUAUAUUUUUUUUUAAUAAAACGUUAUAUUAUAAUAAAAUAAUAAUUUAUUGAAAUAUAAAGUAAAUGUUCCAGUUAAGGAUAUCAAAGAAUGAGUGGUCUAACAUCAGACUCCAGACUACUAUAAAUUAGGGACUCCGCAUUGCUCUUUCUCAAAUUACAAUUCUCAUAUCAACAACAAACCAUACAUAGAAAUGAAGUAUCUAAGCUCCUACUUUACCUUUGCUACUGCCAUUGCACUCUUUUUUUCCUUUCAACCUUCUUCAGCAGAUUCUCAUGAAAACUUUGUUCGAUGUCUUUACAAUUAUCCCCACAUCACCAACACAAUCUCCAAUGUUGUUUACACCCAAACCAACUCUUCAUACUCCUCUCUCCUAGAUCAUACCAUUGAAAUUCGUAGAUUCUCCAACUCAAGCUCAAAACCCCUUGUCAUUGUCACACCACUGGAUGUUUCCCAAAUUCAAGCAACUAUAAUCUGUUCCCAACGCCAUGGCCUACAGAUUCGAACCCGAAGUGGAGGCCAUGAUUACGAGGGUCUCUCCUACGUUGCCCAGGUUCCAUUUGUCCUCCUUGACCUCUUAAACCUUCGAGAAAUCACAGUUGACGAAGAAAGCCGAACUGCAUGGGUUCAAUCUGGGGCAACCCUAGGUGAACUUUACUACAGCAUUAGCCAAAAAAGCAAAACGCUAGGGUUCCCAGCUGGUUCGUGCGCUAGUGUGGGCAUUGGUGGCCACUUCAGUGGAGGUGGUUAUGGAUUCAUGAUGCGUAAGUACGGUCUUGCUGCAGAUAAUGUCAUAGAUGCUCACAUAAUCGAUGUGAAUGGUAACCUUCUUGACAGACAAGCCAUGGGUGAGGAUCUGUUUUGGGCCAUUAGAGGAGGUGGUGGAGCAAGCUUUGGAGUCAUUGUGUCUUGGAAGGNNNNNNNNNNNNNNNNNNNNNNNNNNNNNNNNNNNNNNNNNNNNNNNNNNNNNNNNNNNNNNNNNNNNNNNNNNNNNNNNNNNNNNNNNNNNNNNNNNNNCUGGUUCCAGUUCCAUCAACUGUGACAGUGUUCAAUGUUUCAAGGACAUUGGAAGAGAAUGCAACCGAGAUCAUUCAAAAGUGGCAGCUUGUGGCCCAUAAAUUGGACGAACGCAUAAUGAUUAGGGUGGACAUAGCAAGGGUUAAUUCAAGUCAACAUGGAAAGCUAACAAUACAAGCCAGUUUUGUGUCCUUGUUUCUGGGAGGAGUAGAAGAGCUUAUUCCAUUGAUGCAAAACAACCUCCCAGAGUUGGGUUUGGACAGAAACGACUGUAAAGAGACGAGUUGGAUUGGGUCAGCUAUUUUCACCAAUGCUGUGUUGAUUGGAUCUUCAGGGAAUGAAUCCCCCGAAUCUAUGCUCAACCAAACUCAAAUUCGUUCUGGGUAUUUCAAAGCAAAAUCUGAUUAUGUGAAACAACCCAUUCCUAUUGAGGGAUUACGAGGAUUAUGGCGUUUGCUUUGUGACGUUAAGGUUGAAUAUGCUCAACUUCAAUUGGCUCCUUAUGGGGGCAGAAUGUAUGAGAUUUCGGAAUCUGAAAUUCCAUUUUCUCACAGAUCUAGAUACAUAUUUCAUAUUCACUAUAACACCAAAUGGCAAGAGGAAGGGGACGAGAUAGCACAAAGGCAUAUGGAUUGGAUUAGAAGACUCUAUAAAUAUAUGGAACCUUAUGUUUCAAAUUCUCCAAGAGCUGCAUAUAUGAAUUACAGAGACCUUGACAUUGGGGUAAAUAACAAUGGCUACACAAGCUACACCCAAGCCAAAAUCUGGGAUUUGAAGUAUUUCAAUAAUAAUUUCAAGAGAUUGGCUAGAGUGAAGACCAAGGUGGAUCCUGACAAUUUUUUCAGAAACGAACAAAGCAUUCCUAUACUGUCGAUGGAAGAAUAUUAAAUUAUUUUUAAACCAUCUAGUAUGUAAAAUUCAAAUAAAAUAAAUUUAAUGAAUGGUAACUCAAAUGUUUAAAAUUACGUAGACUAAAUAAUAGUGUUCACAAAAAUGCCAAGUUAUUAGAGUUGCAUUGACAAAAAAAAAGCAAUCUGGAAGACUACUCUAACAAAGUUAUUUUUUUUAAAAGUUGACAACGUAAAAUAAAUAACUUUUUAAUUUCACAACUCUUUAUACUAAUAUAAUAAUAUUUUAAAUUAAAAAGUAAAAUAAAAUUAAUUAAAAUAUUAAUAUUUUAGAAUGUUAAGUGUAUAUUGAUUAUGUGAAAAAGUUGUCAGAAAAAUAUAUUAUUAAAUUUUGAAUACUGUAAAUAAAACCAUAAGCAUUCAACAUCCCUUAUUUAAUUCCUUCCAUGUGUAAGCAACUUUUUCUUAUAUAAAAAAAGCUCGAUCCUACAUACCGAUAGUUAUUAAAAAUAUUUAUUUCACUGAGUUUUUCUUUAUUAAAUAUGAAAUAAACUUCUUUUAAAAUGUAUCCGUGUCGGAUGCACAUAUUGGUGUCGACACUCGUAGGACACUUAACGGUUAAGUAUUCAAUUCAAAAAAUAUUUGUUGUAUUUUUUAAAAUUCUAGCAUGAUUUUAACACAAUUUUAAAAGGUAUAAAUACAAUAAUUUUCUAAAAACUCAAAUUUUUGUAUAAAUUUUUAUUAAAAAUAAGGAACAAAUUCUUUUGAACCAGUCAUGAAAAAUAUCUUACAUUCUCUCAAAGGAAUAUGAAACAUAUUUUUCCACAUAAAUAUUUAUUUUCAAUUUAUAUAAUUCAAAAUUAUAUAAUAUAUAGAAUCGUGUCCCCGUAUCCUACAUUUUAGAAAUUAUACGUAUUUUCGUAUCCGUGUCAUGUCACUGUCCGUAUCCAUAUCUAUACUACGUAUCAUUAAAUGGUUAAACAUGGGUGUUGAUAUAUAUUAAUACUCUCUAUACUAAAAACAUUCACUUUAUAUCAUAAUAAAUUAAUAUCUUAUUUUAUUUAUUUAAUAUCAAAUGUAUAUCAUGUACUUUAAACAAAAUUUGGUCAAAAAAAAUACAUACAUUGGCCCAUUUGUCGCAUCUUGCUUAAAAUAAUAUAAAAAGCAAUAUUAUAAUAAAAUAAUAAUUUAUUGAAAUAUAAAGUAAAUGUUCAAGUUAAGGAUAUCAAAGAAUGAGUGGUCUAACAUCAGACUCCAGACUACUAUAAAUUAGGAACUCCGCAUUGUUCUUUCUCAAAUUACAAUUCUCAUACAGAGAAAUGAAGUAUCUAAACUCCUACUUUACCUUUGCUACUGCCAUUGCACUCUUUUUUUCCUUUCAACCUUCUUCAGCAGAUUCUCAUGAAAACUUUGUUCGAUGUCUUUACAAUUAUCCCCACAUCACCAACACAAUCUCCAAUGUUGUUUACACCCAAACCAACUCUUCAUACUCCUCUCUCCUAGAUCAUACCAUUGAAAUUCGUAGAUUCUCCAACUCAAGCUCAAAACCCCUUGUCAUUGUCACACCACUGGAUGUUUCCCAAAUUCAAGCAACUAUAAUCUGUUCCCAACGCCAUGGCCUACAGAUUCGAACCCGAAGUGGAGGCCAUGAUUACGAGGGUCUCUCCUACGUUGCCCAGGUUCCAUUUGUCCUCCUUGACCUCUUAAACCUUCGAGAAAUCACAGUUGACGAAGAAAGCCGAACUGCAUGGGUUCAAUCUGGGGCAACCCUAGGUGAACUUUACUACAGCAUUAGCCAAAAAAGCAAAACGCUAGGGUUCCCAGCUGGUUCGUGCGCUAGUGUGGGCAUUGGUGGCCACUUCAGUGGAGGUGGUUAUGGAUUCAUGAUGCGUAAGUACGGUCUUGCUGCAGAUAAUGUCAUAGAUGCUCACAUAAUCGAUGUGAAUGGUAACCUUCUUGACAGACAAGCCAUGGGUGAGGAUCUGUUUUGGGCCAUUAGAGGAGGUGGUGGAGCAAGCUUUGGAAUCAUUGUGGCUUGGAAGGUAAAACUGGUUCCAGUUCC
This 43013-nucleotide long non-coding RNA is filed under the name Phaseolus vulgaris (common bean). RNAcentral's name for it is "long non-coding RNA (PVUL_LNC004610)". Lineage: Eukaryota; Viridiplantae; Streptophyta; Magnoliopsida; Fabales; Fabaceae. The record is from RNAcentral.